RNAcentral lists this ribosomal RNA (441 nucleotides) under uncultured bacterium. Its description in RNAcentral is "partial 16S ribosomal RNA". It matches the Rfam family "Bacterial small subunit ribosomal RNA", at positions 338 to 795 of the family's 1533-position model. The record is from RNAcentral.
CCUACGGGGGGCAGCAGUGGGGGAUAUUGCACAAUGGGGGAAACCCUGAUGCAGCGACGCCGCGUGUGGGAAGACGGUCCUCUGGAUUGUAAACCACUGUCCCCAGGGACGAAGAUGACGGUACCUGUAUAAGCAGCCCCGGCUAACUCCGUGCCAGCAGCCGCGGUAAUACGGAGGGGGCGAGCGUUGUUCGGAGUGACUGGGCGUAAAGAGCACGUAGGCGGUGUUGUAAGUCAUUAGUCAAAGACUAGAGCUCAACUUUAGUAAGGCUAGUGAUACUAUAAUACUAGAGUAUCAGAGAGGAUUGCAGAAUUCCUGGUGUAGCGGUGAAAUGCGUAGAUAUCAGGAGGAAUACCGUUAGCGAAGGCGGCAAUCUGGCUGGAAACUGACGCUGAGGUGCGAAAGCGUGGGUAGCAAACAGGAUUAGAUACCCGGGUAGUC